This 252-nucleotide ribosomal RNA is filed under the name uncultured bacterium. RNAcentral describes it as "partial 16S ribosomal RNA". It matches the Rfam family "Bacterial small subunit ribosomal RNA", at positions 524 to 776 of the family's 1533-position model. The record is from RNAcentral.
CACGUAGGGGGCGAGCGUCGUCCGGAAUUAUUGGGCGUAAAGGGCGCGUAGGCGGCCGUUUAAGUCUGAUGUGAAAGUGCGGGGCCUAACCCCGUAAAGCAUUGGAAACUGGAUGGCUUGAGGACAGGAGAGGAAAGUGGAAUUCCUAGUGUAGCGGUGAAAUGCGUAGAUAUUAGGAGGAACACCAGUGGCGAAGGCGACUUACUGGGCUGUAACUGACGUUGAGGCGCGAAAGUGUGGGGAGCAAACAGG